Molecule: ribosomal RNA, 471 nt
Filed under: uncultured bacterium
Lineage: Bacteria
Description: bacterial SSU rRNA
Rfam family: Bacterial small subunit ribosomal RNA
Source: RNAcentral
CUCGGGCUAAUACCGAAUGUGCCCUUCGGCCACAAGUGCCGUCGGGGAAAGGAAGCUUCGGCCUCCGCAUCGGGAUGGGCCCGCGGCCCAUUAGCUUGUUGGUGAGUGUAACGGCCUACCAAGGCGAUGAUCCGUAGCUGGUCUGAGAGGAUGAUCAGCCACACUGGGACUGAGACACGGCCCAGACUCCUACGGGAGGCAGCAGUGGGGAAUAUUGGACAAUGGGGGCAACCCUGAUCCAGCAAUGCCGCGUGAGUGAUGAAGGCCUUAGGGUUGUAAAGCUCUUUCGGCGGGGACGAUGAUGACGGUACCCGCAGAAGAAGCCCCGGCUAACUUCGUGCCAGCAGCCGCGGUAAUACGAAGGGGGCGAGCGUUGUUCGGAUUUACUGGGCGUAAAGGGCGCGCAGGCGGCUCUGAAAGUCAGAUGUGAAAGCCCCGGGCUUAACCUGGGAAUUGCAUUUGAUACUCUGG